Molecule: ribosomal RNA, 171 nt
Filed under: uncultured low G+C Gram-positive bacterium
Lineage: Bacteria; Bacillati; Bacillota
Description: partial 16S ribosomal RNA
Rfam family: Bacterial small subunit ribosomal RNA
Source: RNAcentral
CCUACGGGAGGCAGCAGUGGGGAAUAUUGCGCAAUGGGGGCAACCCUGACGCAGCAACGCCGCGUGAGUGAAGAAGGUUUUCGGAUCGUAAAACUCUGUCUUUGGGGAAGAAUAAAUGACGGUACCCAAGGAGGAAGCCCCGGCUAACUACGUGCCAGCAGCCGCGGUAAU